Caenorhabditis elegans is the source of this 21-nucleotide non-coding RNA. NCBI's taxonomy places the organism in Eukaryota, Metazoa, Nematoda, Chromadorea, Rhabditida, Rhabditidae. The record is from Ensembl.
UCUCGAAUAUACAUGUACUGA